RNAcentral lists this ribosomal RNA (404 nucleotides) under Pseudarthrobacter sp. RNAcentral describes it as "bacterial SSU rRNA". It matches the Rfam family "Bacterial small subunit ribosomal RNA", at positions 532 to 933 of the family's 1533-position model. The record is from RNAcentral. Lineage: Bacteria; Bacillati; Actinomycetota; Actinomycetes; Micrococcales; Micrococcaceae.
GCGCAAGCGUUAUCCGGAAUUAUUGGGCGUAAAGAGCUCGUAGGCGGUUUGUCGCGUCUGCCGUGAAAGUCCGGGGCUCAACUCCGGAUCUGCGGUGGGUACGGGCAGACUAGAGUGAUGUAGGGGAGACUGGAAUUCCUGGUGUAGCGGUGAAAUGCGCAGAUAUCAGGAGGAACACCGAUGGCGAAGGCAGGUCUCUGGGCAUUAACUGACGCUGAGGAGCGAAAGCAUGGGGAGCGAACAGGAUUAGAUACCCUGGUAGUCCAUGCCGUAAACGUUGGGCACUAGGUGUGGGGGACAUUCCACGUUUUCCGCGCCGUAGCUAACGCAUUAAGUGCCCCGCCUGGGGAGUACGGCCGCAAGGCUAAAACUCAAAGGAAUUGACGGGGGCCCGCACAAGCGGC